CAGUCGCCGCGGUAAUACGGAGGGUGCAAGCGUUAAUCGGAAUUACUGGGCGUAAAGCGCACGCAGGCGGUUUGUUAAGUCAGAUGUGAAAUCCCCGAGCUUAACUUGGGAACUGCAUUUGAAACUGGCAAGCUAGAGUCUUGUAGAGGGGGGUAGAAUUCCAGGUGUAGCGGUGAAAUGCGUAGAGAUCUGGAGGAAUACCGGUGGCGAAGGCGGCCCCCUGGACAAAGACUGACGCUCAGGUGCGAAAGCGUGGGGAGCAAACAGGAUUAGAUACCCCUGUAGUCCCUGUCUCUUAUAA
RNAcentral lists this ribosomal RNA (301 nucleotides) under uncultured bacterium. Its description in RNAcentral is "partial 16S ribosomal RNA". It matches the Rfam family "Bacterial small subunit ribosomal RNA", at positions 509 to 809 of the family's 1533-position model. The record is from RNAcentral.